Molecule: ribosomal RNA, 253 nt
Filed under: uncultured bacterium
Lineage: Bacteria
Description: partial 16S ribosomal RNA
Rfam family: Bacterial small subunit ribosomal RNA
Source: RNAcentral
UACGGAGGGUGCAAGCGUUAUCCGGAUUUACUGGGUUUAAAGGGUGCGUAGGUGGUUCUGUAAGUCAGUGGUGAAAUCUCCGAGCUUAACUCGGAAACUGCCAUUGAUACUAUAGGUCUUGAAUUAUCUGGAGGUAAGCGGAAUAUGUCAUGUAGCGGUGAAAUGCUUAGAUAUGACAUAGAACACCAAUUGCGAAGGCAGCUUACUACGGAUCGAUUGACACUGAGGCACGAAAGCGUGGGGAUCAAACAGG